GGUAGGAACCGAAGGCGACGACCUUCGGGAGCUUGCACAGGUGCUGCAUGGCUGUCGUCAGCUCGUGUCGUGAGAUGUUCGGUUAAGUCCGCUAACGAGCGCAACCCUCGCUGUGUGUUACAAGUGUCACACGGUACUGCCGGUCUUAAGCCGGAGGAAGGUGGGGAUGACGUCAAGUCAGCAUGGCCUUUAUGUCCUAGGCUACACACACGCUACAAUGGCCAACACAAUAGGUUGCUAAGCCGCGAGGUGGAGCCAAUCCUCAAAGUUGGUCUCAGUUCAGAUUGCAGGCUGCAACCCGCCUGCAUGAAGAUGGAGUUGCUAGUAACCGCAGGUCAGCUAUACUGCGGUGAAUACGUUCCCGGGGCUU
Molecule: ribosomal RNA, 370 nt
Filed under: uncultured Leptolinea sp.
Lineage: Bacteria; Bacillati; Chloroflexota; Anaerolineae; Anaerolineales; Anaerolineaceae
Description: bacterial SSU rRNA
Rfam family: Bacterial small subunit ribosomal RNA
Source: RNAcentral